UGGGGAAUAUUGCACAAUGGGCGCAAGCCUGAUGCAGCAAUGCCGCGUGAGUGAAGACGGCCUUAGGGUUGUAAAACUCUUUCGCUAGGGAAGAUAAUGACGGUACCUAGUAAAGAAGUCCCGGCUAACUCCGUGCCAGCAGCCGCGGUAAUACGGAGGGGGCUAGCGUUGUUCGGAAUUACUGGGCGUAAAGCGCGCGUAGGCGGACUGAUCAGUCAGGGGUGAAAUCCCGGGGCUCAACCCCGGAACUGCCUUUGAUACUGUCAGUCUUGAGUCCGGAAGAGGCGAGUGGAAUACCGAGUGUAGAGGUGAAAUUCGUAGAUAUUCGGUGGAACACCAGUGGCGAAGGCGACUCGCUGGUCCGGUACUGACGCUGAGGUGCGAAAGUGUGGGGAGCAAACAGGAUUAGAUACCCUGGUAGUCCACACCGUAAAACGAUGAAUGCCAGUCGUCGGGUAGCAUGCUAUUCGGUGACACACCUAACGGAUUAAGCAUUCCGCCUGGGAGUACGGUCGCAAGAUUAAAAGCUCAAAGGAAUUGACGG
This 544-nucleotide ribosomal RNA is filed under the name uncultured bacterium. RNAcentral describes it as "bacterial SSU rRNA". It matches the Rfam family "Bacterial small subunit ribosomal RNA", at positions 355 to 916 of the family's 1533-position model. The record is from RNAcentral.